Molecule: RNA transcript, 2538 nt
Organism: Brassica napus (rape)
Lineage: Eukaryota; Viridiplantae; Streptophyta; Magnoliopsida; Brassicales; Brassicaceae
Gene name: fimbrin-1-like
Exons: 6
Source: RefSeq, a predicted model, not a curated record
UCUAAACCAAGAAAAUGGUCGGUUCACCGAGUUUUGUCUUGUUGUAAUGGUCACGUUUUCUUUGCUAUAUUAAGGACAAAAUUUCGAAUCGGUGCUUUUUUUGUUUCUUUUUUUCUUAGCCACAAAGAUCAAUCCUUUCAACUAGUCAUGUGAAGCGUACGAUGAUCCGUUUACAGGGAGAAUCUAAACAGAGGACUCUAUGGUGAUCAAAGGGAGAUGUCUGGGUUCGUGGGUGUUGUCGUUUCGGAUCCAUGGUUACAGAGUCAGUUCACACGAGUCGAGCUUCGUACUCUCAAUUCCGAGUUUGUAUCGUUGAAGAAUUCAAGUGGAAACAUAACCAUAGAAGAUCUCCCUUCUCUAUUGUCAAAGUUAAAGUCAAUUAGUGCAACGUUUAAGGAGGACGAAAUCAGACAGAUACUGCAAGAACAUGCUUCUGAUAAUACAAGCAGUGAUGUGGGUUUUGAAGAGUUUCUCAAGGUAAUAUGGAGUUUCUUGGUGAACCAAGUUUCACAUUGACUAUGAAUGUUGUUAAUAUUGAGACACAGGACCUGGCUGAAGGACGGGUAUGUUUUGUCUGCUCACUGUUCAACACACAUUAACCAUUGUAAUUUACUUUUUUUACUUGAUCUAUUGGGUAAGCAAUGUUCUGACCAUAGAGGUUUUUAUGAUGUUUUGUAGACUCUGUUUUAGCUUCUAAACUUUAUGUUGCUUUUAUAACAUCUGAGGAUUCUGAGCUAAUUAGAAAUGUGAUUAUUUUUGUGAGGAUUGUUGAUGCUCAGGAAGUGGUAAAUCUGGAUUACACAAUGAUGUGGGAUUAAUUUAUUAUGAGUUUACUCUUGUUUCUUUUUAUCUUUGUCUGAUUCUUACAAUCGUGGAGCUGUUUUGUUCCUAAAGGAGGAGAUGCUUCUCACGAAAACAAGCCUUCUAAUGGGAAAAUAUCAGGUGAUUCCGCUACUCCAAAGCCGUUUGGUCUUAACACAGAUUGGAGAGAGUUCAGAGCAAACUUGUUUAUGAAAGAGCAGGUGAUAUCUUGAUACUUGAGGUUUGGCAUCAUCAACACAUUCUUGGGAAGUUAUGUUUAUGUAUGAGUCAAAUGUUUUAAUGGGAUUUUUGUGAUAAUUAAAAGAUGAAUUUUUGCAUUGGACCACAUAAAUGUUUGGAUUUCUUAAUGUUGUCUCUUAACUCACAUUUACUACUUAAAAAUAUUAAAAAAAAAACAAGAUAACCAUUCUCUUAGAAUUUGUUGGUUUUCAUCCACGUUCAGAAAAAAGGAAAAAUCAUGACAACGCAAAAAUUAAUCAGAAUACCAAGUAACGAAUUAAAACGAAUAUAUGGGACAACUUUUAUCUGACAAAACAAUAACUACACUAGGGUAACAUGAAUUUGCUAGAGAAUUUAUUAGCCGGCCAAAUAUUAUGCUUAUAACUCCGGAGAUCUUGUGAAUUAUAUAAUAAAAAUUAAAAUAUAAUGAAAAUUUAAACAAGUCAAACUUUGUAUAAUUUAAUUCAUGCAUUUAGCACAUGGAAAAAAAUAUAUUGAUGAAUGAUUUGGGUAUCGUAAGAAUAAAAGUGUUAGUACUAUUUAAAUAUCUAAAUUCUCCAGAAUAUUAUGAAAAUUUGUAAAAUAAAAGUAAAUAAGCUUUGAUGGGGUCUUUCAUGUUUUCCUCUGACUUUUUUCUUCCAGCUUCGUUUUCUGUGACCACAACGCGAAAAUCUGAUCCAAACAUGUUUAAAAUUGUAACAGAGAAGUGUCAUCUCUUUAUCAAGGAGUUUAGUGCCUUGACCGAUAAUGCAGAACAUGUUUUUUGGAGAUCAUUCACCAAAGAGGACCGUGCAAAAAAAUGCAUGUGGGUCGGUCGAUUCUAGUUUGCAGUUGAGGGGACUCGCAAACACGUUGCAAAGCAAAAUAUUUUCGUUGUUGACACGAAACAAAAAAAUUAAGAUCAUACUUGGGAUUUCUACAAAAGAAGAGGAUUAUUUAGUGGGCGCAAUUGCACUUCAUGAUGAAACGGCACUUCUUCGUCCUGUUUUCUAUGUUCCUAGGAUUUGCAAGGUGUUUCAUGGGGAUCAAAAUGAUGUUACUUGGCUACAAAGGGAUUUCCAUAUCUAUUUGGCCAAUCUCUUUGAUACCUACACGGUUUGUUUGGUAUUGGAAAAGCCUCAAAAGUCACUUAAGGGUUUACUACGAACUAUUUUCAAAGUAAACACGGACAAGUAAUACAUCUUCAAGACUGGACAAAACGACCACUCUCACAAAUUAUGUUGCGAUAUGCGAGAAGCGAUACACAAUAUUUGCUUGAGAUCACAAAUGUUUUGACAGCUGAGCUCAAAGAAGGUAAAAAGUAUGACGAGGCUAUUAGGCGGUCCAACAAAAUGUGUUUAACACUAUACACAAAAGGACAAGAAGAUUUCAAAUUAGUUAAAACAGGUUAAACUUUGUAUAAUUCAAUUCAUGCAAAAAUUAUAUUGAUGAAUGAUUUGGAUAUCGUAAGAAUAAAAGUGUUAGUACUAUAUAAUUAUCUAUUUUUUUUCCAAAAUA